This 254-nucleotide ribosomal RNA is filed under the name uncultured bacterium. RNAcentral describes it as "partial 16S ribosomal RNA". It matches the Rfam family "Bacterial small subunit ribosomal RNA", at positions 524 to 776 of the family's 1533-position model. The record is from RNAcentral.
UACAGAGGGUGCGAGCGUUGUUCGGAAUUACUGGGCGUAAAGCGCGCGCAGGCGGCCCUUUAAGUCCGCUGGUCAAAGACCGGGGCUCAACCCCGAGUCAGCCAGGGAUACUGGAGGGCUGGAGACAGGUAGAGGCAAGCGGAAUUCCUGGUGUAGCGGUGAAAUGCGCAGAUAUCAGGAAGAACACCAAUGGCGAAAGCAGCUCUCUGGGACGGUACUGACGCUGAGACGCGAAAGCGUGGGGAGCGAACAGG